GGGGAGCAAACAGGAUUAGAUACCCUGGUAGUCCACGCCGUAAACGAUGUCGACUUGGAGGUUGUGCCCUUGAGGCGUGGCUUCCGGAGCUAACGCGUUAAGUCGACCGCCUGGGGAGUACGGCCGCAAGGUUAAAACUCAAAUGAAUUGACGGGGGCCCGCACAAGCGGUGGAGCAUGUGGUUUAAUUCGAUGCAACGCGAAGAACCUUACCUACUCUUGACAUCCAGAGAACUUAGCAGAGAUGCUUUGGUGCCUUCGGGAACUCUGAGACAGGUGCUGCAUGGCUGUCGUCAGCUCGUGUUGUGAAAUGUUGGGUUAAGUCCCGCAACGAGCGCAACCCUUAUCCUUUGUUGCCAGCGGUUAGGCCGGGAACUCAAAGGAGACUGCCAGUGAUAAACUGGAGGAAGGUGGGGAUGACGUCAAGUCAUCAUGGCCCUUACGAGUAGGGCUACACACGUGCUACAAUGGCAUAUACAAAGAGAGGCGACCUCGCGAGAGCAAGCGGACCUCAUAAAGUAUGUCGUAGUCCGGAUUGGAGUCUGCAACUCGACUCCAUGAAGUCGGAAUCGCUAGUAAUCGUGGAUCAGAAUGCCACGGUGAAUACGUUCCCGGGCCUUGUACACACCGCCCGUCACACCAUGGGAGUGGGUUGCAAAAGAAGUAGGUAGCUUAACCUUCGGGAGGGCGCUUACCACUUUGUGAUUCAUGACUGGGGUGAAGUCGUAAAA
RNAcentral lists this ribosomal RNA (730 nucleotides) under uncultured bacterium. Its description in RNAcentral is "bacterial SSU rRNA". It matches the Rfam family "Bacterial small subunit ribosomal RNA", at positions 763 to 1493 of the family's 1533-position model. The record is from RNAcentral.